GCCCCGAUCGUCUAGCCCGGUCAAGGAUAUCACCCUCUCACGGUGGGGACGCGGGUUCGAAUCCCGCUCGGGGCA
RNAcentral lists this transfer RNA (75 nucleotides) under archaeon. RNAcentral's name for it is "tRNA-Glu". It matches the Rfam family "tRNA". Rfam says of the family: Transfer RNA (tRNA) molecules are approximately 80 nucleotides in length. Their secondary structure includes four short double-helical elements and three loops (D, anti-codon, and T loops). Further hydrogen bonds mediate the characteristic L-shaped molecular structure. tRNAs have two regions of fundamental functional importance: the anti-codon, which is responsible for specific mRNA codon recognition, and the 3' end, to which the tRNAs corresponding amino acid is attached (by aminoacyl-tRNA synthetases). tRNAs cope with the degeneracy of the genetic code in two manners: having more than one tRNA (with a specific anti-codon) for a particular amino acid; and 'wobble' base-pairing, i.e. permitting non-standard base-pairing at the 3rd anti-codon position. The record is from RNAcentral. RNAcentral also lists the same sequence under 1 other name.